RNAcentral lists this ribosomal RNA (429 nucleotides) under Triticum aestivum (bread wheat). RNAcentral's name for it is "partial small subunit ribosomal RNA". The record is from RNAcentral. Lineage: Eukaryota; Viridiplantae; Streptophyta; Magnoliopsida; Poales; Poaceae.
AUGAAACUCGGGCUCGCCUGCGUCGGGCCCCUGAGGAGCAGACUGCCCAUACCGCGGUUCAGGCUCCUCCGGUGGUCGACGGGGCUAUCCGUGGGCGCACUCGGUCCCGCACUGCUGCUCUCCGCGCGCAAAGCGCAUCUCGUGUCCUGGGGUCAAGUAGCCCCCCGAGGGGCUUAGAUGCGGGCCCUUUUUUGGAACAUCCGCGGCUUCGGCCAUGAUGGCCGACGCCGACAAAUCGUCGAGUAUGUGCGUGAUGAACACAUUGACAUCAUUGCGAUCCAGGAAACCAUGCGUACUGAGUUCUCCCUCCAUGAGCUUGACUGCCUCAGCUCCCACCUUUUCGCCUGGCAUUGGCUCCCUUCUAGUGGGACCACGGGCCACUCUGGUGGCAUCCUUUUAGGGGUUAAGUAUGCCACCUUCGACGUGGGC